RNAcentral lists this ribosomal RNA (469 nucleotides) under Escherichia coli. Its description in RNAcentral is "partial 23S ribosomal RNA". It matches the Rfam family "Bacterial large subunit ribosomal RNA", at positions 1 to 510 of the family's 2925-position model. The record is from RNAcentral. Lineage: Bacteria; Pseudomonadati; Pseudomonadota; Gammaproteobacteria; Enterobacterales; Enterobacteriaceae.
GUUAAGCGACUAAGCGUACACGGUGGAUGCCCUGGCAGUCAGAGGCGAUGAAGGACGUGCUAAUCUGCGAUAAGCGUCGGUAAGGUGAUAUGAACCGUUAUAACCGGCGAUUUCCGAAUGGGGAAACCCAGUGUGUUUCGACACACUAUCAUUAACUGAAUCCAUAGGUUAAUGAGGCGAACCGGGGGAACUGAAACAUCUAAGUACCCCGAGGAAAAGAAAUCAACCGAGAUUCCCCCAGUAGCGGCGAGCGAACGGGGAGCAGCCCAGAGCCUGAAUCAGUGUGUGUGUUAGUGGAAGCGUCUGGAAAGGCGCGCGAUACAGGGUGACAGCCCCGUACACAAAAAUGCACAUGCUGUGAGCUCGAUGAGUAGGGCGGGACACGUGGUAUCCUGUCUGAAUAUGGGGGGACCAUCCUCCAAGGCUAAAUACUCCUGACUGACCGAUAGUGAACCAGUACCGUGAGGGA